GAGAGUUAGAGUUUGUCAAUGCAACCAUGUCCAUUCCUCUUAUAAUUAUAUCACUGUGACAGGGUUUUGAAUUGCUCUCUUGAAUCCAUUUAGAGCACAGCUCUGCCAUGGGCAGCACUGGUUAUGCAGCAAGGCUUUGCUUCAUUUUAGCAUUAUGUAAGUUUUCCUUUUUAUUUUUUUUCCCCCAGGAUUUUACCGCUCUGAAGGUUAAAAAGAGGGAAGCAGCUGUUCCCACGCCUCAGCAGCACAAACACCUCGAGCCUUCAAACGCUCCUGAGAGGAAUCAGUGGGACAGCAGCGAGCGAGGGAGCGCUUGGGCCGCUGCCAAAAGCAGCGAGCCUCGAACGGAGCCGCCUCUUAUCUGGGCAAUCUCAGCGCUGCAGCCGUUUCGCAAGUGACGCACCAGCACGGAGCUCAGCUCUCCCUCGAUGUGAAAAGCACCCAUUGGAGCUGAAGAAGAGAAUAAUCCCAGAGCUGCUGGAGCUGGAUUUGCUGUUCAUUCACUCAUUCAUUCAUGCUCUGCUGGCCCCGUGGCGGCAGCUGCCACCCCACACUCUGAGCGCGUCUCACACUUUCCCUGCAGCUUUCUCGGGUGCUGGGGUGUAACACUUGGAACCUUGGACAACAGCAAAACCAGUCAAUUAUGUUUGCACCCUGCCUGCCUUGAAAGCCCUGGAGUGUGCCUGGUGUGAGCACAGCCAGGGGAAUGCAGGAGCUCAUGAUAAAUUCCAAACAAAAGCACCAUUAUCCAUAUGGGACCUCGUGAGUGCUUCACGUACUCCAGCAAUUCCAAGCACUCCGUGUAUGGUUCUUACUCGGUUUUAAUUCCAUUUCUUUGAGAUGCAAAUCAGAGGGAUUAUAUUCAGAAGCUGCAUCAGAAAGUCUUUAAUCCAAAUGGGCUAUAAGAUUUAUUUAGAAGAGCCAAAUGUCUUGUCUGGGACAGAAGCAACUGAGCUGAACUGAAACAGAUGGACAUAAAGGAAAUUAAGCAACUCUAAUGGUCUUAUCCAGAGUUUGAAAGUAUUUGGUUUUCCUAAAGCUCGAGCUCCUGGAAGCACGUGAUGAGACGGGAAGCUCAGGUUUCACUUAAAAACAGGCUUUGCAGUUCACUGAGAAAAACAAUAACCAUGUUUUUAUUCCUCCUGUGGACAGAACGAGGGCUGCCUUCCAAAUCCUGACUCCUUGGGCUUAUGUCAUCAGAGGAAAAGAUAUUGAAUGGGAGUUUUGGAGUCCUCAUUUUUACAGCAAUGUCAUCAUUUCAGCAGCCUAGAUUUGGGAUUUUGGGAAAUCUGAUGCUGGCAAUAGAGAUCCCAGGUAGUUUGUUUACUAAAAUAGACAAAACCCAUCCCUUGGUUCUGCUGAGGGUUUGUCCCUUGAAAAUUUCUGCUGUUUCUGGUGGUGAUUUUUUAGGUCUCACCUAAGGCUGGGGUUUAACUGGGACACCAGCACUGCCAAGGUCACCUCCAGCAGUGCUGGAUGCAGCAAACCCAGCGUGCACAUCUCGGAUGCUGAUAAACCACUGGGCUGGAAACCUGGAGAGCUCAGGCUGUCCCCCAGGAUCAGGCGUGUCUCCACCUCUGCUGAGGUCAGGAGAUUCUCAGCUGGCAGAAAAAGCCUUCCCUGGAAUGUUUGGCUGUGUUUGGCCCUGGACAGUCUGCACAGACAGCAGGACAGAUAUGAGGACACGCUCCCUGCCAUCCCACCAGGGUAUUUCUGGUGGUAAAGAUGGUUUCUCUUGGGGAGGAAAGUUGAGGUUUGAGUUGCUUCUACCACCUGCAGCUUUCAGGUGCUAAAUAGUGACAAGGCUGAAUUCUUUGGGCUUCCUGAGGCUCUUGACCACUACUGAGUGGUCAAGGAGAUCCCAGACAGUCUCAACCAAAGACAUGCUUUUGCAGCUGAAACUCCUGGUAAAAACUGGGAGAAGUCUUUCUGCUUUCAACCCAAAGCCAUCCCCUGCUUGGCUCUCCCAGGGAAGCAUUCCAAUGCAGGGACAUUUCAAGUGUUUGUGCAUUUGCAAGUGGAUUAAAUAAAAGG
Molecule: long non-coding RNA, 2034 nt
Organism: Junco hyemalis (dark-eyed junco)
Lineage: Eukaryota; Metazoa; Chordata; Aves; Passeriformes; Passerellidae
Source: Ensembl